Molecule: ribosomal RNA, 497 nt
Filed under: uncultured bacterium
Lineage: Bacteria
Description: partial 16S ribosomal RNA
Rfam family: Bacterial small subunit ribosomal RNA
Source: RNAcentral
GAUGAACGCUGGCGGCGUGCCUAAUACAUGCAAGUCGAGCGAACGGACGAGAAGCUUGCUUCUCUGAUGUUAGCGGCGGACGGGUGAGUAACACGUGGAUAACCUACCUAUAAGACUGGGAUAACUUCGGGAAACCGGAGCUAAUACCGGAUGAUAUUUUGAACCGCAUGGUUCAAAAGUGAAAGACGGUCUUGCUGUCACUUAUAGAUGGAUCCGCGCUGCAUUAGCUAGUUGGUAAGGUAACGGCUUACCAAGGCAACGAUGCAUAGCCGACCUGCGAGGGUGAUCGGCCACACUGGAACUGAGACACGGUCCAGACUCCUACGGGAGGCAGCAGUAGGGAAUCUUCCGCAAUGGGCGAAAGCCUGACGGAGCAACGCCGCGUGAGUGAUGAAGGUCUUCGGAUCGUAAAACUCUGUUAUUAGGGAAGAACAUAUGUGUAAGUAACUGUGCACAUCUUGACGGUACCUAAUCAGAAAGCCACGGCUAACUACGUG